GACGUAGGGCGCGAGCGUUGUCCGGAUUUAUUGGGCGUAAAGAGCUCGUAGGCGGCUUGUUGCGUCGACUGUGAAAACCUGCGGCUCAACCGUGUGGUCUGCAGUCGAUACGGGCAGGCUGGAGUUCGGUAGGGGAGACUGGAAUUCCUGGUGUAGCGGUGAAAUGCGUAGAUAUCUGGAGGAACACCGGUGGCGAAGGCGGCAUCCUGGACCGAGAUUGACGCUGAUGCGCGAAAGCCAGGGGAGCAAACGGG
Molecule: ribosomal RNA, 254 nt
Filed under: uncultured bacterium
Lineage: Bacteria
Description: partial 16S ribosomal RNA
Rfam family: Bacterial small subunit ribosomal RNA
Source: RNAcentral